Molecule: long non-coding RNA, 261 nt
Organism: Mobula hypostoma (lesser devil ray)
Lineage: Eukaryota; Metazoa; Chordata; Chondrichthyes; Myliobatiformes; Myliobatidae
Exons: 5
Source: RefSeq, a predicted model, not a curated record
AUACAUCUCAACAAUGAUAUGGUGAGAGUAUGAAUUCACCAUUUGAAGAAAGAACUCCAUUAAAGGCUGUUCAUUGUAGAAAGAUUAUUUUAAUGGUGAUCUCAGAGCUAUUUCCAUUGAACUAUUAUUUCAAAUACAGCAUGAUGCAGUUCAGUUCUUCACCUGCAUUCUACAAAAACAUCUUAACUUUUUAAGAUCAAAAGGAAAAAAACGGAACAAUUCUGGAAGGGAUCAUUUUAGGAAUCGCAAUGGAAAUGCAAG